GUGUCAGCAGCCGCGGUAAUACGUAGGGGGCAAGCGUUGUUCGGAAUUACUGGGCGUAAAGGGCGCGUAGGCGGCACGGCAAGUCGGGAGUGAAAGGCCUGGGCUCAACCGAGGAACUGCUUUCGAGACUGCCGAGCUAGAGUGCGGAAGGGGCAACUGGAAUUCCCAGUGUAGCGGUGAAAUGCGUAGAUAUUGGGAAGAACACCUGAGGCGAAGGCGGGUUGCUGGGCCGACACUGACGCUGAGGCGCGAAAGCCAGGGGAGCAAACGGGAUUAGAUACCCUAGUAGUCC
RNAcentral lists this ribosomal RNA (292 nucleotides) under uncultured bacterium. RNAcentral describes it as "partial 16S ribosomal RNA". It matches the Rfam family "Bacterial small subunit ribosomal RNA", at positions 505 to 796 of the family's 1533-position model. The record is from RNAcentral.